This 69-nucleotide transfer RNA is filed under the name Marmota monax (woodchuck). It matches the Rfam family "tRNA". Rfam says of the family: Transfer RNA (tRNA) molecules are approximately 80 nucleotides in length. Their secondary structure includes four short double-helical elements and three loops (D, anti-codon, and T loops). The record is from Rfam by way of RNAcentral. Lineage: Eukaryota; Metazoa; Chordata; Mammalia; Rodentia; Sciuridae.
GGGGCUGUAGCUCAUUGGUAGAGCGAAUGCCUCACAUGUGUGAGGCAUAGGGUUCGAUCCUCAGCACCA